Molecule: non-coding RNA, 2322 nt
Organism: Python bivittatus (Burmese python)
Lineage: Eukaryota; Metazoa; Chordata; Lepidosauria; Squamata; Pythonidae
Source: RefSeq, a predicted model, not a curated record
CUCCAGUUAAAAAGUUCACUUCAGCUAUAAUAGAUGCCUAUGUAGGGUUACACACAAGGAAAAAUCCAUAUGUGUGAAUGCACAGAUGAUAAUUCAGAAAACCACAGUUGGAAAUAAGCAAUCUGUUCUUCUAAAGAAAAAUAACGUAUUUUGACAUAAUUUUCAUUUAUUUUACUGGAGGAAAUUUACAAACCAUCUGACGUAAGGCUUGUUUGAAAAUACCCAGUGAGAUAUCUGGCUUUGAUAACAAGCAAGGUGAAUUAUUUUUCCAUGCUGGAUUUUCUUCUCCAGCAGGUGAAGAAAACACUAGCAACAGUGCCAGCACUUCCCCUGUUCUGUUGCCCCAGCAACAACUUAAGGCACCAACUUAGAGAAAAAUAAAGGGAGUACUUAUUCUGAAAAAUACGCAAAAUAGUUACGGAAAUCAUUUUAUUGUUCAGAAAGAUUUUAAAGAUUGGUUUGAUGAAACAUUUGAACAAUAUGUAAAAUACAUGUUUAUUUUACGUGUUGAUAAUAUUGCAUUAUCAAUUAUAUCUUAAUUGCGUUUAUAUCCUUUUUUUCCCAUAGGAAUUUAAAGCAACUUCAAUAUGGAUCUCCAGUCAUUCCAUUCCAUUGAUAUAAGCCCUACUCAGUAAUGGGUGUAAAGGGUACAUUGGCUUUAUCACCCGAUUCCCCAAUCUGGUUCUUAAUUCACAUUCACAUGAAUGAAAUUUUCCUUUAGGAUUGCCGCUUAGCGCAGCAUAGAGACUAGGGAAUGGCACGGGGAAAGACAAUGAUGUUGUGUGUGGCUCAGUGCUGUUUACACAUUUCAAUACCCUGCCCAGGUUGAAUGCCUGAACUGGAAUUUAGUGGAAGCUUAACUAUGGCUUAACUGUGAUAUCAGAACUGAUAAACCAUGAUUUGCUACCAGUAACAAGAUUUUGAAAUCAUGUCAGCAGGGUCUGAAUAGUGAACCAUAGUUAUGUUUCUUUCUGUGCCUGCAGAGGCAGAUUCAUCAGGAAGCUCAGUAUCAGGAAUUAAAAUGGAAUCAAAGUAGAGGUUCAUAUCACGGCUUGCUUGCUGUAUAUUUGGAAGCUUAAUGCUUGAUCUGGCUUCUAAAGUAGGGUUAGUGCAAACCUUGGUUUUAUGUGACCAAAGGUUUAUGUAAAAAAAAACUUUUUAACUUAUUGUCAUGGAUUGUGUAAAUUUGCAGAUCUCUAAACAUAGUUGUCCUAUUUUGACAGGAAGAAUAUGACAAGUAUGGGAUUCGGAUUAGAGUCAAAUUCCGUAGCAGCACCCAACUUCAUGAACUGACUCAGUACCAUCAGAGCGGAGGGGAGAGAAGUGUUUCAACAAUGUUAUAUUUAAUGGCUUUGCAAGAACUCAACAGAUGCCCUUUCAGAGUAGUAGAUGAAAUAAAUCAGGGAAUGGAUCCAGUUAAUGAAAGGAGAGUCUUUGAUGUGGUAGUAGAAACUGCCUGCCAAAAGAGCACCUCCCAAUACUUCUUUAUUACACCAAAGUUGUUGCAGAACCUCAGUUAUGGAGAAAAAAUGACCAUAUUAUUGGUUUACAAUGGAUCAUCUAUGCUAGAAUCAAGCAAGUGGGACUUAAAAGCUUUCUGUAGAAGGAGACAGAGAUUUCAACCAUGACUCAGCAGCAAAUAUGUUUUCCUUUUUGAAAUUGAAAAGAAAUGUAAUUGGAGAAAAGUCAAGAAUGAAUUUAUUUCUUAAAAGCACAAUUACUCUCUUGUAAAAGUGAUUGAUAGCCAGUGUUUUAUAAGAUUAAAAUAUUAACUUUUUCUUUUAUGCUCAUUUUUCUCUGAAGAACUGUAGAUAUCAGUUUGGAUAAAUUGAAAGAAUAUAUUUUCUUAUCAGUGAUCAGUUGUUUUAAGUGAAUUUGAGAAAGAAAUGUUCUUCCAGUUGUUCACAACUUGGAAGCUUUGAUAUAAUUACAUUUGUUUUAAUAUGUCUUAUAAAUGUUAUAAUAUAGCUUUUGGAUUAACUGGUAAACUGGUAAAGGUUUUACCAGUUCAGCAAGGAAGUUUAACAGUUGUCACUGUUCCCAGUUGUGAACUCAGCUGUUUAAAUGUGUUCUGCAUAACUAUGGGAUACUGGACUAUGAAAAGUAGUCUUCCCAAAUGCUGCUAAAUUAUAAUCUUAAUUGUGUUCCAGAAGACUAAAAUAAUUUCAGGCAUUUCUGAAAUAUAUAAAAUAUGCAGUGUCUUUUUAUCUUAAUCUUAAGAUGCAACCAUUUGCUUGACUGGUAAUUUUAUACAAGGUACCAUUCUUACAACAUGAGACUUACUCCAUAUUUCCAUAUUUUUGUCUUUUUUAUAAGGGAAAA